This 362-nucleotide ribosomal RNA is filed under the name uncultured bacterium. Its description in RNAcentral is "bacterial SSU rRNA". It matches the Rfam family "Bacterial small subunit ribosomal RNA", at positions 28 to 400 of the family's 1533-position model. The record is from RNAcentral.
GACGAACGCUGGCGGCGUGCUUAACACAUGCAAGUCAUGGGGGCCCGCAAGGGCAACCGGCGAACGGGUGCGUAACACGUGAGCAAUCUGCCUAAGAUGUGGGGGAUAGCCGGCCCAACGGCCGGGUAAUACCGCAUACGCUCUCCUGGUGGCAUCACCGGGUGAGGAAACCUUCGGGGCAUCUAGAGGAGCUCGCGGCCUAUCAGCUAGUUGGUGAGGUAAUGGCUCACCAAGGCUUUGACGGGUAGCUGGUCUGAGAGGAUGGCCAGCCACAUUGGGACUGAGAUACGGCCCAGACUCCUACGGGAGGCAGCAGUGGGGAAUCUUGCGCAAUGGACGAAAGUCUGACGCAGCGACGCCGC